This 254-nucleotide ribosomal RNA is filed under the name uncultured microorganism. Its description in RNAcentral is "partial 16S ribosomal RNA". It matches the Rfam family "Archaeal small subunit ribosomal RNA", at positions 474 to 727 of the family's 1478-position model. The record is from RNAcentral.
CACCGGCGGCUCGAGUGGUGGCCACUUUUAUUGGGUCUAAAGCGUCCGUAGCCGGGUUGGGAAGUCCUCCGGGAAAUCUGGCCGCUUAACGGUCAGAAUGCCGGAGGAUACUCCCAGCCUAGGGAGCGGGAGAGGCCGAGGGUAUUCCCGGAGUAGGGGUGAAAUCCUAUAAUCCCGGGAGGACCACCUGUGGCGAAGGCGCUCGGCUGGAACGCGUCCGACGGUGAGGGACGAAGGCCAGGGGAGCAAACCGG